CCUCAUAGUUCUCAACCCAUUACAUCGACCACUAGCCACACCCUUAGGUAACAUCUCUCCUUUUCUUUUAGAAGUUAAGCUUGUUUCGCCUCUUGAUUACCAAUAAGAAUAAAAUCUGAAAUAAUUAACUUAAAAGGCAAGUUUCAUCAUCCACUCAACCUCUCUUUAAGCCAAAGCUUGUUAUCUUGAUUACCAAUAAGAAUAACACGCCGAAAACAUUAAUUUAGAAGGCAAGUUAUAUGGGACUGACUGUCAGGCUUAAGUCCAACAUAUCUACAAGAUGUGUGUCUGUGGAUAGGAUGCUAAGGUAUAUAUGCAUCCAUACAAUAUUAGACGAUUAAAUCUAACCACAUAUGGCAAAAUGAGAGAACUUUUGAAGUCCAUGCAGACCUAGCGAAAAGAAUAGGGAAGAAUGGAAGAAAGAGAUCUGAAUAGGCAAUACCAAUUAGUUGGGAUUAAGAUUUAGUUAUGUUAGCAUGUCUAUUUUAGUCCAUUAUUUUCUAAGAGCCCCUUAGUCCUGCCAGUAGGAAAAUAUAGAAAAGUUCAGGUACUCAUUUUUUAUUUUAAUUUAUACAAUACUGCAAUGAGAUGAACUUAUAUUGCAGCGAUAUGGACAGUGAUGAUUCAUACAGCUGGCCUCAACUUGCUAUGUUGUGUAUAAAAUAAUUUAGAUCAGGCCUAAUACGAACAAAAUGGACUUCUUGGUGUCAAAAUGAAUGUAAUUAUUUUCAAGAUUUAAAGGGACAACUUAUGUUUGGGCAGACAUCCAAGCUAUGUCACAGAGUUAUGUUAAAAAAAAAAAUCCAAUCUCAUGCAAUUAAUUAUAAAGCAACAUUCGGUAUUAGUGAAAAUAUACUGUAAAAAAAGGGCAUAAUUCUACCAGAAAGAACAGCAAAGGGAAUUAUGCAUACAGCCUCGAAUCUCCAAACUUUGAGGGCUUGACAUUUUUUUACUUUUUAUGACAAGGGAAACCCGCAGCUGCUACCCUUUGGGUGCGCACAAGGUAAAAUCCCUGAUCCUAUGCAAUAGCUCGCAAACCACAUAGGAGAGGUAACCCGCACUAGGCAAGCCCAGUGCGACGAGCUCGACCCAGAAGGCAAACCCAUUGUUUUUGCUGGCAAGGGGUUUCGAACUUGAGACCUCCAACAUGGAAGUCCCAAGCCCAAACCACUGGGCCACCUCGAAGGGUUGAGGGCUUGACAUUUUAUCUAUCUUAUGUGGUUUUCUACACAUGAUUAGCAAAGCUAUUCAGUCAUUUUUACACAAAUGUUAAGUCAUCAGAAUUGAAACCAAGUGCUACCUAGGUGAAGAACAUCAAAUACAAUUCAAAGUCUAGUUAGUGGCAUAUCGCAACAGUAGAAAGUCAAGCUAGGAUAAACUCAAUAAUUAUUAUUUUGACAAGUAGGAAAAAUCUUAAUUGUCUAGGAAAC
Molecule: long non-coding RNA, 1430 nt
Filed under: Solanum tuberosum (potato)
Lineage: Eukaryota; Viridiplantae; Streptophyta; Magnoliopsida; Solanales; Solanaceae
Description: long non-coding RNA (STUB_LNC010235)
Source: RNAcentral